UGAGCAAUCUGCCCUUCUCUUCGGAAUAAGCGUUGGAAACGACGUCUAAUGCCGAAUACGACCUCCUUUCGCAUGAUCGGAGGUGGAAAGCUCCGGCGGAGAAGGAUGAGCUCGCGGCCUAUCAGCUAGUUGGUGUGGGUAAUGGCCCACAAGGCGACGACGGGUAGCCGGCCUGAGGAGGGUGACCCGGCCACACGUGGGACUGAGACACCGGCCCAGACCUCCGUACGGGAGGNAGCG
This 240-nucleotide ribosomal RNA is filed under the name uncultured bacterium. RNAcentral's name for it is "partial 16S ribosomal RNA". It matches the Rfam family "Bacterial small subunit ribosomal RNA", at positions 118 to 353 of the family's 1533-position model. The record is from RNAcentral.